RNAcentral lists this ribosomal RNA (238 nucleotides) under uncultured Pseudomonas sp. RNAcentral describes it as "partial 16S ribosomal RNA". It matches the Rfam family "Bacterial small subunit ribosomal RNA", at positions 115 to 355 of the family's 1533-position model. The record is from RNAcentral. Lineage: Bacteria; Pseudomonadati; Pseudomonadota; Gammaproteobacteria; Pseudomonadales; Pseudomonadaceae.
GCCUAGGAAUCUGCCUGGUAGUGGGGGACGAACGUUUCGAAAGGAACGCUAAUACCGCAUACGUCCUACGGGAGAAAGCAGGGACCUUCGGGCCUUGCGCUAUCAGAUGAGCCUAGGUCGGAUUAGCUAGUUGGUGAGGUAAUGGCUCACCAAGGCGACGAUCCGUAACUGGUCUGAGAGGAUGAUCAGUCACACUGGAACUGAGACACGGUCCAGACUCCUACGGGAGGCAGCAGCC